AACAACCUUGCAGUACUUCAGGUCCGCCAUUCUAGGAAUUAAUUCAUAUACCCAAAUCUACACAAUUCACAGGACAAAAGUCAUUAUUUAAGUUUUAAAGUCCACAAAACAUAACUGACAUGAACAUUAUUACCAUGUACUUGGAAAGCAUACGUGAAACCUUUAAAACUCCAGCCACCCCUUUGAGCUUCACCAUGCUUAUCCUUCUUGCCCU
RNAcentral lists this long non-coding RNA (214 nucleotides) under Prunus persica (peach). RNAcentral describes it as "long non-coding RNA (PPER_LNC000785)". Lineage: Eukaryota; Viridiplantae; Streptophyta; Magnoliopsida; Rosales; Rosaceae. The record is from RNAcentral.